Molecule: ribosomal RNA, 898 nt
Filed under: Monochaetum bonplandii
Lineage: Eukaryota; Viridiplantae; Streptophyta; Magnoliopsida; Myrtales; Melastomataceae
Description: eukaryotic LSU rRNA
Rfam family: Eukaryotic large subunit ribosomal RNA (bases 693-898)
Source: RNAcentral
AAGUCGUAACAAGGUUUCCGUAGGUGAACCUGCGGAAGGAUCAUUGUCGAAUUCGAAGGGGAGAACGACCCGCGUACCGUCUUUGCGUAGCGAACCAAGCUAGCGUGCACAAAAGGUGGCGUGUCUAGCGAUGCGUCGGUGCGGGCCUUCUGGAAAGGGCCGCGCCGCGCCGUAAUCUAUCAAUGUCAGCACGGAUCGUGCCAAGUACUGCAUUGGCGAGAGCCGUCGUCCUCCCCCUCUUUUGGGGGGGGGGGACAUGUGCGAUCUCUGCUCUUUGUCUUAAUGACUCUCGGCAACGGAUAUCUCGGCUCUUGCAUCGAUGAAGAACGCAGCGAAAUGCGGUACUUGGUGUGAAUUGCAGAAUCCCGCGAACCAUCAACUCUUUGAACGAGAUCCCGCGACCAUCAACUCUUUGAACGCAAGUUGCGCCCGAAGCCAUACGGCCGAGGGCACGCCUGCCUGGGUGUCGUGAAUCCCCUUGCCGCCGGCGCCCGCGCGAGCAUCGUCGCGGAUAUUUCCGGGCGCAGAAUAUGGUCUCCCGCCGGGUCGGCAUGCGCGGCACGUCGUCGGGCGGUUGGCCGAAAAUCGAGCAUUGCGACGUCCCGUUCCACGGCGUUCGGUGGAUCGAACGCGAUUGGCAGCGCCGUGGUCCCGUCUUGCCACGGGCUCUGGACUUKGAAGAUUUCUGAAUGCGAUCCCAGGUCAGGUGGGGCUACCCGCUGAGUUUAAGCAUAUCAAUAAGCGGAGGAAAAGAAACUAACGAGGAUACCCUUAGUAGCGGCGAGCAAACCGGGACGAGCCCAGCRUGAGAAUCGUCCCCCUUCGGCGGCCGAAUUGUAGUCUGGAGAAGCGUCCUCAGUGACGGACCGGGCCCAAGUUCACUGGAAGGUGGUGCCGG